UCUGCCCUUAAGUGUGGAAUAACGUACCGAAAGGUGCGCUAAUACCGCAUAAUGCCUGGCAACACAAGUUGUCCGGCCAAAGAAGGCCUCUGUUUACAAGCUUUCGCUUCAGGAUGAGUCCGCGUACCAUUAGCUUGUUGGUGGGGUAAUGGCCUACCAAGGCUGCGAUGGUUAGCUGGUCUGAGAGGAUGAUCAGCCACACUGGAACUGAGACACGGUCCAGACUCCUACGGGAGGCAGCAGUGAGGAAUAUUGCGCAAUGGGGGCAACCCUGACGCAGCAACGCCGCGUGAGUGAGGAAGGUUUUCGGACCGUAAAGCUCUGUCGAGUGGGAAGAAGUGUAUCAUGGCUAAUAUCCGUGAUAUUUGACGGUACCGCUAGAGGAAGCACCGGCUAACUCCGUGCCAGCAGCCGCGGUAAUACGGGGGGUGCAAGCGUUGUUCGGAAUUAUUGGGCGUAAAGAGCGUGUAGGCGGCCGAGCAAGUCAGAUGUGAAAUCCCCGGGCUUAACCCGGGAAGUGCAUUUGAAACUGCUAGGCUUGAGUAGGGGAGAGGAAAGUGGAAUUCCUGGUGUAGAGGUGAAAUUCGUAAAUAUCAGGAGGAACACCGGUGGCGAAGGCGACUUUCUGGCCCUAUACUGACGCUGAGACGCGAAAGCGUGGGUAGCAAACAGGAUUAAUACCCUGGUAGUCCACGCCCGUAACGAUGUUCACUA
RNAcentral lists this ribosomal RNA (714 nucleotides) under uncultured bacterium. RNAcentral describes it as "bacterial SSU rRNA". It matches the Rfam family "Bacterial small subunit ribosomal RNA", at positions 125 to 818 of the family's 1533-position model. The record is from RNAcentral.